This 253-nucleotide ribosomal RNA is filed under the name uncultured bacterium. RNAcentral's name for it is "partial 16S ribosomal RNA". It matches the Rfam family "Bacterial small subunit ribosomal RNA", at positions 524 to 776 of the family's 1533-position model. The record is from RNAcentral.
GACGUAGGGGACGAGCGUUGUCCGGAAUUAUUGGGCGUAAAGAGCGCGUAGGCGGUCCGAUAAGUCGGCUGUGAAAGUCCAGGGCUCAACCCUGGAAAGCCGGCCGAUACUGUCGGACUAGAGUCCGGAAGAGGCAAGUGGAAUUCCCGGUGUAGCGGUGAAAUGCGCAGAUAUCGGGAGGAACACCAAUUGCGAAGGCAGCUUGCUGGGACGGUACUGACGCUGAGGCGCGAAAGCGUGGGGAGCAAACAGG